This 746-nucleotide long non-coding RNA is filed under the name Cucumis sativus (cucumber). RNAcentral's name for it is "long non-coding RNA (CSAT_LNC001348)". The record is from RNAcentral. Lineage: Eukaryota; Viridiplantae; Streptophyta; Magnoliopsida; Cucurbitales; Cucurbitaceae.
GAAGGUGCAGGGUAUGGAGGGGGUGGUGGAAAUGGCGGUGGAGGAGGAUACGGUCAUGAAAGUGGAGGAUAUGGAGGUAAUGGAGGAAAUGGCGGUGGUCAUGAAAGUGGAGGAUAUGGAGGCAGUGGUCAUGAAAGUGGAGGAUAUGGAGGUAGUGGAGGAAAUAACGGCGGUCAUGAAAGUGGAGGAUACGGAGGCAGUGGAGGAAAUGGAGGAAAUGGCGGCAGUCAUGAAAGUGGAGGAUAUGGAGGCAGUGGAGGAAAUGGAGGUGGUCAUGAAAGUGGAGGAUACGGAGGCAGCGGAGGAAAUGGUGGCGGUCAUGAAAGUGGAGGAUAUGGAGGCAGUGGAGGAAAUAGUGGUGGUCAUGAAAGUGGAGGAUAUGGAGGAAGUGAAGGACAUGGCGGUGGUCAUGAAAGUGGAGGAUACGGAGGCAGUGGAGGAAAUGGUGGCGGUCAUGAAAGUGGAGGAUAUGGAGGUAGUGGAGGAAAUGGCGGUGGUCAUGAAAGUGGAGGAUAUGGAGGCGGCAGUCAUGAAAGUGGAGGAUACGGAGGCAAUGGAGGAAAUGGCGGCGGUCAUGAAAGUGGAGGAUAUGGAAACAGUGGAGGAAAUAGCGGUGGUCAUGAAAGUGGAGGAUAUGGAGGCAGUGGUGGAAAUAGCGGUGGGGCAGGAUAUGGUGGAGAACAUGGAGCAGGGUAUGGUGGUGGUGGUGGAAAUGGUGGGGGUGGAGGUGGAGGAGCAGGAAGUGG